This 465-nucleotide ribosomal RNA is filed under the name uncultured bacterium. Its description in RNAcentral is "partial 16S ribosomal RNA". It matches the Rfam family "Bacterial small subunit ribosomal RNA", at positions 28 to 507 of the family's 1533-position model. The record is from RNAcentral.
GACGAACGCUGGCGGCGUGCUUAACACAUGCAAGUCGAACGGAAAGGCCCUGCUUGCAGGGUACUCGAGUGGCGAACGGGUGAGUAACACGUGGGUGAUCUGCCCUGCACUUCGGGAUAAGCCUGGGAAACUGGGUCUAAUACCGGAUAUGACCUUCCAUGUAGUGUGGGGGGUGGAAAGAUUUAUCGGUGUGGGAUGAGCCCGCGGCCUAUCAGCUUGUUGGUGGGGUAAUGGCCUACCAAGGCGUAGACGGGUAGCCGGCCUGAGAGGGUGGACGGCCACAUUGGGACUGAGAUACGGCCCAGACUCCUACGGGAGGCAGCAGUGGGGAAUAUUGCACAAUGGGCGGAAGCCUUAUGCAGCGACGCCGCGUGGGGGAUGACGGCCUUCGGGUUGUAAACCUCUUUCGACAGGGACGAAGCUUCGGUGACGGUACCUGUAUAAGAAGCACCGGCUAACUACGUG